RNAcentral lists this ribosomal RNA (836 nucleotides) under uncultured archaeon. RNAcentral's name for it is "bacterial SSU rRNA". It matches the Rfam family "Archaeal small subunit ribosomal RNA", at positions 85 to 922 of the family's 1478-position model. The record is from RNAcentral.
ACUGCUCAGUAACACGUGGACAACCUGCCCUUAGGUCGGGUAUAAACCCGGGAAACUGGGUAUAAUCCCCGAUAGGUCUCGGCUGCUGGAAUGCAUCGAGAUUUAAAGCUCCGGCGCCUAAGGAUGGGUCUGCGGCCUAUCAGGUAGUAGUGGGUGUAGCGUACCUACUAGCCUACGACGGGUACGGGUUGUGAGAGCAAGAGCCCGGAGAUGGAUUCUGAGACACGAAUCCAGGCCCUACGGGGUGCAGCAGGCGCGAAAACUUUACAAUGCUGGCAACAGCGAUAAGGGAACCUCGAGUGCCAGGUUACAAAUCUGGCUGUCGAGAUGCCUAAAAAGCAUUUCAUAGCAAGGGCCGGGCAAGACCGGUGCCAGCCGCCGCGGUAACACCGGCGGCUCGAGUGGUAACCGUUAUUAUUGGGUCUAAAGGGUCUGUAGCCGGCCGGAUAAGUCUCUUGGGAAAUCUGGCAGCUUAACUGUCAGGCUUUCAGGAGAUACUGUUCGGCUCGAGGCCGGGAGAGGUGAGAGGUACUUCAGGGGUAGGGGUGAAAUCUUGUAAUCCUUGAAGGACCACCAGUGGCGAAGGCGUCUCACCAGAACGGACCUGACGGCAAGGGACGAAAGCUAGGGGCACGAACCGGAUUAGAUACCCGGGUAGUCCUAGCCGUAAACGAUACUCGCUAGGUGUCGGCCACGGUGCGACCGUUGUCGGUGCCGUAGGGAAGCCGUGAAGCGAGCCACCUGGGAAGUACGGCCGCAAGGCUGAAACUUAAAGGAAUUGGCGGGGGAGCACCACAACGGGUGGAGCUUGCGGUUUAAUUGGAGUCAACGCCGGA